UAGAGUUUGAUCCUGGCUCAGGACGAACGCUGGCGGCGUGCCUAAUACAUGCAAGUCGAGCGGACUUGACGGAGCUUGCUCUGUUCAAGUUAGCGGCGGACGGGUGAGUAACACGUGGGUAACCUGCCUGUAAGACUGGGAUAACUCCGGGAAACCGGGGCUAAUACCGGAUAACAUCAAGAGCUGCAUGGCUCUUGAUUGGAAGGCGGCUUCGGCUGUCACUUACAGAUGGACCCGCGGCGCAUUAGCUAGUUGGUGAGGUAACGGCUCACCAAGGCGACGAUGCGUAGCCGACCUGAGAGGGUGAUCGGCCACACUGGGACUGAGACACGGCCCAGACUCCUACGGGAGGCAGCAGUAGGGAAUCUUCCGCAAUGGACGAAAGUCUGACGGAGCAACGCCGCGUGAGCGAUGAAGGCCUUCGGGUCGUAAAGCUCUGUUGUUAGGGAAGAACAAGUACCGUUCGAAUAGGGCGGUACCUUGACGGUACCUAACCAGAAAGCCACGGCUAACUACGUGCCAGCAGCCGCGGUAAUACGUAGGUGGCAAGCGUUGUCCGGAAUUAUUGGGCGUAAAGCGCGCGCAGGCGGUUCCUUAAGUCUGAUGUGAAAGCCCACGGCUCAACCGUGGAGG
Molecule: ribosomal RNA, 633 nt
Filed under: uncultured Bacillus sp.
Lineage: Bacteria; Bacillati; Bacillota; Bacilli; Caryophanales; Bacillaceae
Description: bacterial SSU rRNA
Rfam family: Bacterial small subunit ribosomal RNA
Source: RNAcentral